This 254-nucleotide ribosomal RNA is filed under the name uncultured bacterium. RNAcentral describes it as "partial 16S ribosomal RNA". It matches the Rfam family "Bacterial small subunit ribosomal RNA", at positions 524 to 776 of the family's 1533-position model. The record is from RNAcentral.
GACGUAGGGCGCGAGCGUGUCCGGAUUUAUUGGGCGUAAAGAGCUCGUAGGCGGCUCGUUGCGUCGGCUGUGAAAACCCGCAGCUCAACUGUGGGCUUGCAGCUGAUACGGGCGGGCUGGGAUUCGGUAGGGGAGACUGGAAUUCCUGGUGUAGCGGUGAAAUGCGCAGAUAUCAGGAGGAACACCGGUGGCGAAGGCGGGUCUCUGGGCAGUAACUGACGCUGAGGAGCGAAAAGCGUGGGGGAGCGAACAGG